UAUGUGAUCGUCUCUCGCAUAUCAAUAAGCGGAGGAAAAGAAACUAACAAGGAUUCCCCUAGUAACGGCGAGUUAAGCGGGAAGAGCUCAAAUUUGAAAUCUUAAAGGGUUUCCCUUUACGAAUUGUAGUUUAAAGAAGUGUUUUCUGUUGAGGUUUUGGUAAAAGUUCUUUGGAAUAGGACAUCAUAGAGGGUGAGAAUCCCGUAUUUGACCUUUACUUUCAACUUUGUGAUACACUUUCAAAGAGUCGGAUUGUUUGGGAAUGCAGUCCAAAAUGGGUGGUAAAUUUCAUCUAAAGCUAAAUAUUGGCGAGAGACCGAUAGCGAACAAGUACCGUGAGGGAAAGAUGAAAAGAACUUUGAAAAGAGAGUUAAACAGUACGUGAAAUUGUCAAAAGGGAAGCGUUUGACACCAGUGUUGUUUUUCUGAAAAUCAAUUAAAGAACUGUUUAUGCUAAGUUGUUUAGACUUUAUCAGCUAACUGUUUAGUUUUGAGCUUUUCUUUAAUGCACUUUUCAGUUAACAAGUCAACAUCAAUUUCUUUUGCUGUAAAAAAGCUUGAGGAAGGUGGCUUGAGAUUCGUCUUAAGUGUUUAUAGCCUCUUGCCUAUGCAGUCGGAGAGAUUGAGGUCUGCAGCGUAGAUCCUUCGGGGCUAAAUGCAUUUGUGCUAAGGUUAUAGCAUUUUAUAGACAACUUGUUGACUAUGAUUUGUCUUGUAGCUUACUCGCUUAUGUUAUUUUACCUACGCUUAGGAUGUUGAUAUGCAUGACUGAUAU
RNAcentral lists this ribosomal RNA (775 nucleotides) under uncultured Neocallimastigales. RNAcentral's name for it is "partial large subunit ribosomal RNA". It matches the Rfam family "Eukaryotic large subunit ribosomal RNA", at positions 24 to 636 of the family's 3401-position model. Lineage: Eukaryota; Fungi; Neocallimastigomycota; Neocallimastigomycetes; Neocallimastigales. The record is from RNAcentral.